Molecule: long non-coding RNA, 236 nt
Filed under: Mustela putorius furo (domestic ferret)
Lineage: Eukaryota; Metazoa; Chordata; Mammalia; Carnivora; Mustelidae
Description: lncRNA (ENSMPUG00000027134.1)
Source: RNAcentral
UGGAGUUGAACAAUGGAGAUCAGAUGGCCGCUGGGGACUCACAGCUUCCAGAAUUAUUUAGCCAUCUGGAUCAGCUCAUCCAUUGACAGUCCCAGGAUGGAAUGUAAAUGUGAUGAUGUUGAACCAGUUUUGGCCAAGAAGGGCAACAUGCCAGGAGUUGACGGAACAUUAAAUCAGAAGGAACCUGGGUUCCUGAAAGACCCUAUGUGGCUAAAGCUGUACCCCUGUCAUCCCAG